UGUUCAAAAUCAUGGUUCAUCGAGGCUUCCCCUUGAACUGGAUUGAUUGAAAAUGUACUUUGCUCUUCCAAAGUGGCAGCCACGAUCGGUUCACCUAGCAAUUUGAUUUAUUAUCAAUGCGGCAUCAAGCAAGGUGUUCCUAUUUCUCCAUUCUAUUCCCUUCUUAUAGUGGAUCCUUUAUGUCGAAUGCUCAGCCUUGCCUCCUCAGCUCAACUCUUUGAUGGUCUACAUAACCCCUAGAUUUGUAGCGGCACUCAGAUCUUACAAUAUGCCGACGAUACCAUUAUCUUCGCUCAAGCCAAGAAGGAUUUCAUUGCAACACUGAAAAUCAUUCUAUAUUCC
This 342-nucleotide long non-coding RNA is filed under the name Elaeis guineensis (African oil palm). RNAcentral's name for it is "long non-coding RNA (EGUI_LNC033679)". Lineage: Eukaryota; Viridiplantae; Streptophyta; Magnoliopsida; Arecales; Arecaceae. The record is from RNAcentral.